Molecule: unclassified non-coding RNA, 192 nt
Filed under: fungal sp.
Lineage: Eukaryota; Fungi
Description: partial internal transcribed spacer region
Rfam family: Eukaryotic small subunit ribosomal RNA (bases 1-46)
Source: RNAcentral
AAGUCGUAACAAGGUUUCCGUAGGUGAACCUGCGGAAGGAUCAUUGACAUAUAUAUUCAUAUAUACACUUGUGAAAAUCCAAAGACAGGUCAUUAUAAUAUAUUAUUAUAUAAACUCUAAAGCUCAUAUAUAUAUGCUUUAACAACACAUUAACACUUAAUACAACUUUUAACGGUGGAUCUCUUGGCUCCU